This 338-nucleotide long non-coding RNA is filed under the name Brachypodium distachyon (stiff brome). RNAcentral describes it as "long non-coding RNA (BDIS_LNC002803)". Lineage: Eukaryota; Viridiplantae; Streptophyta; Magnoliopsida; Poales; Poaceae. The record is from RNAcentral.
ACCAUGAACGGCCACAAUCAAUUGAGUUUUUUUUUAUAGAAAUGAAGAUAAGUUAGAAAAUACGACCCACUCGGCAGCUAGUGAACCACGUCUUCUAGCUUUGCGGGUGUGCUAUGAUUCCCAAAGUACACUCGACCAUUUUUUUUUUAUCAAAAGGGCUUUUCUGCCCCUGUUCCAUUCAUCUUUUCGUUAAACGGAACAUCAUAUAUAGUUCAUCUGCCUCAGCAGGGAGUACGAUAACGCAUCUCGGCCGAAGGGCCCUAAUGGCGGCACAGGUUUAAACCAACUCCCAUUACAUGACAUGGCAUUACAGCCGUCAGCGCAAUCAAGCCAAGUUG